GACAUGGAUAAAGAAGGAUUUUUCUUGAUUUUAGAUAGAUGUAACGGUUAACCCUCAUUGGCAAAGAAUGUGAACACUACACUUGGACAUACUUAUUUUUAUUUGGCAAUAGACCUUUAUUGUAUUUUUUGUGUUAGGAAUAUAAGUUCUUACGGUGCCCCGACUCCCUAUGCAGGUAUGGGUUGUUACUGCUCUUACCCAAU
This 203-nucleotide long non-coding RNA is filed under the name Carica papaya (papaya). Its description in RNAcentral is "long non-coding RNA (CPAP_LNC016648)". Lineage: Eukaryota; Viridiplantae; Streptophyta; Magnoliopsida; Brassicales; Caricaceae. The record is from RNAcentral.